Molecule: long non-coding RNA, 2652 nt
Organism: Bos taurus (domestic cattle)
Lineage: Eukaryota; Metazoa; Chordata; Mammalia; Artiodactyla; Bovidae
Source: Ensembl
CCCCUUCCUUACCCUAGGAAUGAACACUGCGUCACUUCCUGCCUGCUGUCCUCCACAAGCAGUGGCGUGUCCUUCCAGGAUCUUGCUUCAGCCGCGUAAGCUCCCACAUCCAUUAAACCAUCAGUGUCUCUGAUUGCUGACUCCCAGCUCUUUCACAGGCCUCAUAGUUCUGAGGGGUGCAGCCCCACCACUGGCUGAGCAGCCAAGAGACUGAAUAAACUCCUGAGAGAGCCAGGGAAUGGAAAGUUGCAGGGGCUGUCCACUAACAGGCAAAUAUAAAGGAGAACUAGUACCAAGGGACAUGCUCUGAACCUGGGGUGGGAGCCAGCACGCCAACAUCAAGCCCCAUGGACUGUAGCCUGCCAGGCUCCUCUGUCCAAGAGAUUCUCCAGGAGGAUUCUUUACCACUGAGCCACCAAGGAAACCCCAUGGUUACGGAUGCACGAACGAAAUUUGAUGACUCCAAAGGAGGACCAAGUAUGCUCCUCAGACACUAGCAAAACAGUAGCACUAGAGAGGAGAGAGAACCUGAAAAUUGGGGCUUCAUUGUGAGAAUUAAAUUAUUCUUAUUUUAUUGUUUUCAUGUAUGUGUGAUGUCAUCAUCUCUGCCGAGUCAAGACCUCUUCAGGUCUCAAUCCACUCUACAACUACACACACUUGCCGAAACAAUGUUUGCACCUCUGAGAAUCUGAAUGAAGAACAUGCUGAAGAAUGAGUGAGAUGUCACUUUAAGGUAAAGGAACAGACCUGUUGUGAGCAACUUUGAAAACUGCCUCAUUAUUUCCAGCAGCGCUUUGUAUAUUUGCGAGCACACGUGUGAUCAAAGAUAGGAGCUGAGUCCUUGUGUGAUGAGCUCUGUGUGACUGUGUGUUCAUGUAAAUGUCUGUGGAGGCAUUUGUCCACAAGACGUGGGUAAGUAAAAGAUCUCAAAUGGUAUUCUAAUCUCAGAAAUGUUGGCUCAGAAGUGAGACAGAUUGAAACAAUCUUUAAAGAGAAUAAGAAACAGAAACAAAGUUGAGUCAAAAAGAGGAAAAAGGCCAAUGUGUUAUUGAAGAGGCACAAAUGCCAUAAAUUGAAAAUAGAUGUUUAGCACUGGUUAUAACUUAUGCUGCUGUGAUGUUUAAAAAUUACCAAUUCUGUAAUAUGGUUUAAAGCAGUACUUACCAACCUUCAACAAGUUUAGAUAUUCAUCAUACACAUGUGAAAGAAGUUUGGUCAAGCAUAAGCAAAAAAGUAAGACUAAAGAACACACAGAGUUUCUAGUUUGCAGAUGUAAUUUGUGAAAAUUUCACUAAGCUAUUAUAAAAUAGCUCCAUUACAUUACAGAAAGAAGGAAAAGUUCAGAGAAAUGAUUACCAGUUAAUAGGAAAAUUUCAGAGAAAUGAUUUCUGGUUAAUAGGAAGAAUUCCACGUUCUAAAGAAAAGUACAGAAAACCUUCCAUUUUGAUAGACUUGUCCAAUGUAAAAAAAAAGAAAUAGAACGUGAUGUUUUAAGUCCAUAGAUAGGUUGGUUUAGUGUAAACUGUUACAAAGUGGAAGAAGUAUGGAGAUCUUAGCUGAUUUCCCCCUGGAACCUGUUUUCUUGAAGGUUAGGUAUUUCACAAAUCUCCUGCAUUUGUGUAAUGGUUUACCCUUUUUCAAAGGGCUUUUGCAUUUCUGAUCCUUGUUGAUCCCCAUAACAACUUUGCACGGUGUUCUGAGUAUUAAAUGUGAGCUACAGAGAGGUUGUGUGGUUUAUUUGAGGUGUCACUGUCUGUGACAGCCCCACUACAAGUAAUUCCUAUUCUACAGUCAUUAAUGCCUCCCUAAAAUAAUACAAAGGGCAGCCAUACAUCCAUUCUAAGAACUGUAGAGCCAACCAUUGUCCUGUGUAUUUCCUGCCAGGCAGGGAACACAAAGGCUGCCAUCUUGGUAGUAUAGGUUCAUUCUGACCAGUUAGUGCCCAGGUCAUGAUAAAAAUUUUAAUAUCAUCUGUGAUUACAUGUGUAAAGGAAAAGACCCUGGAAGGGGAGGUCAAGAAAGCUGGGGUCUAGUCCUGGUUUUUAUUAUUGAGAAUGCUGCAGCCGUCACAGCUAAAACUGAGUGCUUACUACAAAUAAGGCAUCCCGCCAAGUAUGCCACAGGGAGGCUCUCUCAGUUCUCACAGUCGCUCUCUGCAGUACAUAAACUUAGCUUCUACUUUACUGAUAAGAAAACCUAGACUCAAAGAAGUGAAAUCAGUUGCCCAAGAAUAUGUAGCUUAAAAGGGUCAGAAGCCAGGACUUGAACUUGGCAGUCAAAUGCCUUAACUUGUGUUUCUGACUAUGAUGAGAACCAGCCAUUCAUUGGCUGACUUAGGCAAUCUCUUAAUUUCUCUGAGUUCAGUUUCCUUGAUUAAUAGUAAAAAAGGUUUAACUCAGUCCCUUUCAAUUCCAUAUACACUAUGGAAAUGAGAGAAGAAAUAUAGCUGAAGUAUAAUUUCUCCUUUGCUAAUCAGUGUGUAAAAGGUGCUCUGAACCCAGCAGAUAAAGCUGAGGGCCUUCACCUUCCACCUGUUUCCUCCAUUGUAAACUUAGUGUAUUGUGUUUAUUUAUUUUCCACUUUAAAUAUGUUCCCAGUAUGUUACAGACAAAAUUUUUAAAUCAAAAUGGUACAUUUACUGAACAAUAAAUU